Molecule: ribosomal RNA, 933 nt
Filed under: uncultured archaeon
Lineage: Archaea
Description: bacterial SSU rRNA
Rfam family: Archaeal small subunit ribosomal RNA
Source: RNAcentral
UUCCGGUUGAUCCUGCCGGACCUGACUGCUAUUGGAGUAGGACUAAGUCACGCUAGUUAAAGGUGCGGAAUGGAGCACCUAGCGAACGGCUCAGUAACACGUAGUCAACCUAACCUAAGGACGGAGAAAACCACGGGAAACUGUGGAUAAUACCCGAUAGGAAAUUUGGCCUGGAACGGUAUCUUUCCAAAAACCGGCUAGCCGUUAGACACGGGCCUUAGGAUGGGGCUGCGGCCGAUUAUGCUAGAUGGCGGUGUAAAGGACCACCAUGGCGACGAUCGGUAUGGGCGAUGGAAGUCGGAGCCCAGAGUCGGCCACUGAGGCAAGGGGCCGAGCCUUACGAGGCUUAGCGGUCGCGAAAACUCGCCAAUGCACGAAAGUGUGAGUGGGCUACUCCAAGUGUCAUUCUUACGGAUGACUGUCGCUCAGUAUAACAAGCUGAGAAAGGAAGGAGAGGGCAAGGCUGGUGCCAGCCGCCGCGGUAAAACCAGCUCUUCGAGUGGUCAGGACGAAUAUUGGGUCUAAAGCGCUCGUAGCCGGACAAGUAGGUUCCCGGUUAAACCCGACAGCAUAACUGUUGGACAGCUGGGAAUACCGCUAGUCUUGGAAGCGGGAGAGGACAGAGGUAGUCAUGGGGCAGGGGUGAAAUCCAGUGAUCCCAUGGCGACCACCGAUGGCGAAGGCAUCUGUCUGGAACGUAUUCGACGGUGAGGAGCGAAAGCUAGGGGAGCGACCCGGAUUAGAUACCCGGUUAGUCCUAGCCGUAAACGAUGCGGACUAGGUGUUGCGGAGGCCAAGAGCCACCGCGGUGCCACAGCGAAGGCGUUAAGUCCGCCACCUGGGGAGUACGGAUGCAAGUCUGAAACUUUAAGGAAUUGACGGGGGCGCACCACCAGGAGUGAAGCCUGCGGUUUAAUUGGAGUCAACGCCGGG